CAUUUUGAACGCAUUGCGCAGUCCAAGCUGUGUGUACAUUGAUUAGUUUUACAGUGCUGCUUGGACUACAUAUGGUUGAGGGUUGUAAGACUAUGCUACCUCAGUUGUUUAAAAUUUUUCGGAAUUUUAAGCACAUGGUAUAUUAUUGGAUAAUAUAUGUGUAUGGUUGCAAAACUAUUACAUGUAAUAUAUUCAUAAUAUUAAAAUAUAAUGAAAUUACUAUGCCUCUCAUAAGUAUAUAUUUGUAUGAGAAAAUUGAAGAAUUAUAUUUUCUUUAUUCAAUUCAAAUAAUACUGAGGAACGUCUAGCAUAAAAAAAAUUUUUUUAACUAGAAUUGCCUCUUAUUACUGAUGAAAUAAAGAAUAAAAACUUAGUUAUAUUAUGGAACUUCAAAAUAAUAGUAAAUUUCAAAUUAUUAAUAAUAAUAAACAUCAUGUUUAAUUAUUAAUAAAAAGAAAAACAUAAUUAUACAACCUCAACUCAUAUGGGACUACCCCCUGAAUUUAAGCAUAUUAAUUAGGGGAGGAAAAGAAACUAACAAGGAUUUUCUUAGUAGCGGCGAGCGAAAAGAAAUCAGUUCAGCACUAAGUCACUUUGUCUAUAUGGCAAAUGUGAGAUGCAGUGUAUGGAACAUCAAUAUUCUAGUAUGAGAAAUUAACGAUUUAAGUCCUUCUUAAAUGAGGCCAUUUACCCAUAGAGGGUGCCAGGCCCGUAUAACGUUAAUGAUUACUAGAUGGUGUUUCCAAAGAGUCUGUUGCUUGAUAGUGCAGCACUAAGUGGGUGGUAAACUCCAUCUAAAACUAAAUAUAACCAUGAGACCGAUAGUAAACAAGUACCGUGAGGGAAAGUUGAAAAGAACUCUGAAUAGAGAGUUAAAUAGUACGUGAAACUGCUUAGAGGUUAAGCCCGAUGAACCUGAAUAUCCGUUAUGGAAAAUUCAUCAUUAGAGUUGUAAUAUUUAAACAAUAUUAUAAUAAUAGUGUGCAUUUUUUCCAUAUAAGGACAUUGUAAUCUAUUAGUAUCAAAAAUUUAUCAAAAAAUUUAAGACCAAAAGCUUAUUUAAAUUAAAAUGCUUGCAUUUUAACAUAAAAUAAAUAUCAUAAAUUUGAUAAAGUGCUGAUAGAUUUAUAUGAAUACAGUGCGUUAAUUUUUCGGAAUUAUAUAAUGGCAUGAUUAUCAUUGAUUUUUAUGUUUAUUAUAUGCACUUGUAUGAUUAACAAUGCGAAAGAUUCAGGAUACCUUCGGGACCCGUCUUGAAACACGGACCAAGGAGUCUAACAUAUGUGCAAGUUAUUGGGAUAAAAACCUAAUAGCGUAAUUAACUUGACUAAUAAUGGGAUUAGUUUUUUAACUAUUUAUAGUUAAUUAACACAAUCCCGGGGCGUUCUAUAUAGUUAUGUAUAAUGAUAUUUAUAUUAUUUAUGCCUCUAACUGGAACGUACCUUGAGCAUAUAUGCUGUGACCCGAAAGAUGGUGAACUAUACUUGAUCAGGUUGAAGUCAGGGGAAACCCUGAUGGAAGACCGAAACAGUUCUGACGUGCAAAUCGAUUGUCAGAAUUGAGUAUAGGGGCGAAAGACCAAUCGAACCAUCUAGUA
RNAcentral lists this ribosomal RNA (1597 nucleotides) under Drosophila guttifera. RNAcentral's name for it is "eukaryotic LSU rRNA". The stretch from base 471 to 1597 matches the Rfam family "Eukaryotic large subunit ribosomal RNA", at positions 1 to 949 of the family's 3401-position model. Lineage: Eukaryota; Metazoa; Arthropoda; Insecta; Diptera; Drosophilidae. The record is from RNAcentral.